AUGGCUGACGCGGUUCAAAGUAUAGUAUCUGUUCUUAUCAGCUUAAUAUUUGAUACGGGUUUAUUUGGGCGUACGAUAUUAAACUUACUUUAUUAUUAUUUUUGCAAGUUGGCGGUGGGCUUAAAGCCUGCUUCAACUCCGCCGUGGGUCAGCCCGGUAUGGCACUACCUUCUGGAUCGCCCCACAUAUG
This 190-nucleotide small nuclear RNA is filed under the name Dermacentor andersoni. Its description in RNAcentral is "U2 spliceosomal RNA". It matches the Rfam family "U2 spliceosomal RNA". From Rfam's summary of the family: U2 is a small nuclear RNA (snRNA) component of the spliceosome (involved in pre-mRNA splicing). Complementary binding between U2 snRNA (in an area lying towards the 5' end but 3' to hairpin I) and the branchpoint sequence (BPS) of the intron results the bulging out of an unpaired adenosine, on the BPS, which initiates a nucleophilic attack at the intronic 5' splice site, thus starting the first of two transesterification reactions that mediate splicing. The record is from RNAcentral. Lineage: Eukaryota; Metazoa; Arthropoda; Arachnida; Ixodida; Ixodidae.